AAACUUUACAAUGCGGGAAACCGCGAUAAGGGGACACUGAGUGCCAGCAUAUUAUGUUGGCUGUCCACAUGUAUAAAAACCAUGUGUUAGCAAGGGCCGGGCAAGACCGGUGCCAGCCGCCGCGGUAACACCGGCGGCCCGAGUGGUGAUCACUUUUAUUGGGUCUAAAGGGUCCGUAGCCGGUUUGAUCAGUCUUCUGGGAAAUCUGACAGCUCAACUGUUAGGCUUUCAGGGGAUACUGUUAGACUUGGGACCGGGAGAGGUAAGAGGUACUACAGGGGUAGGAGUGAAAUCUUGUAAUCCCUGUGGGACCACCAGUGGCGAAGGCGUCUUACCAGAACGGGUCCGACGGUGAGGGACGAAAGCUGGGGGCACGAACCGGAUUAGAUACCCGGGUAGUCCCAGCCGUAAACGAUGCUCGCUAGGUGUCAGGGACGGUGCGACCGUUUCUGGUGCCGUAGGAAGCCGUGAAGCGAGCCACCUGGAAGUACGACCGCAAGGC
RNAcentral lists this ribosomal RNA (502 nucleotides) under uncultured euryarchaeote. Its description in RNAcentral is "bacterial SSU rRNA". It matches the Rfam family "Archaeal small subunit ribosomal RNA", at positions 345 to 849 of the family's 1478-position model. The record is from RNAcentral. Lineage: Archaea; Methanobacteriati; Methanobacteriota.